UGGAUACCAAAACGUGGUGCCAAUAAGGCACCGGUUCGGACAUAAACGGUAGUAACGUGACAGAAUAAGAACGAAAAUUUUGGUGCCUGACUUUUUGUUUUUCAGAAACAUUGCUGCAUGGGACGCUACGUUACCAGUAGCUAGCUAGUAGCUGGAUUAAACACAACGGUUAAAAUGCUGACAGCUUACGUGAAGCGUGUAAAGUGGGACUGUAUUUCUCUGUAGAGGAUUCCAACACCGGGACGUAACAGUCUGCAGGCAGAUGACAACACAGAUGGUGUGUUUACUUGAAAC
Long non-coding RNA from Etheostoma spectabile (orangethroat darter), 294 nucleotides. RefSeq lists it as uncharacterized. Lineage: Eukaryota; Metazoa; Chordata; Actinopteri; Perciformes; Percidae. The transcript is spliced from 3 exons. The record is from RefSeq and is a predicted model, not a curated record.